RNAcentral lists this long non-coding RNA (336 nucleotides) under Brassica napus (rape). Its description in RNAcentral is "long non-coding RNA (BNAP_LNC026210)". The record is from RNAcentral. Lineage: Eukaryota; Viridiplantae; Streptophyta; Magnoliopsida; Brassicales; Brassicaceae.
CAUAUUUUUAAAUCUUAAAAAAAAAUAAAAGAAAAUUUUAUUAAAAUAAACUAAUAAUAAGUUAAUAAAAAGAGAUAAAAUAAAAAGGAAUUAACUUGAUAUAUAUAUAUGAGAACUAUUUCAAAAAUUAAUGUGAAACAAAUUAAUUAAAAUUAUGUACUAAAGUACGCCAAGACAUACAAAUAGCGGUCACAUCAAAAUAAAACAGUUAACUAAUGUAAAAAGAGGGUAUGUCUUUCACCUCUUCAUUCGGAAGUGGAGGCUUUAAUUUGGGCAAUGGAAUGUAUGAAGAAUUUAAGACAGUUUCAAGUUACGUUUGCAACGGAUUGUUCUCAA